Lycium barbarum (goji berry) is the source of this 2358-nucleotide long non-coding RNA. RefSeq lists it as uncharacterized. The transcript is spliced from 3 exons. The record is from RefSeq and is a predicted model, not a curated record. NCBI's taxonomy places the organism in Eukaryota, Viridiplantae, Streptophyta, Magnoliopsida, Solanales, Solanaceae.
UUCAUUUCUUUGUUUAUAUAUAGUAAUGUGCUAUGUUGGUUUUGAAGCACAAGUGUAGUACCUGUAUAUGGCUGAAGCAAGAAAGUGUUUGGUUUGGUUAUCUGUUGAAGCUGAAAGUAAAAAAGAUUUGAGCUUUAUGAAUCUAUCUUAUUAUUCUAAAGUUCAGUAUUAACUAUUGGUAUAAUUGUAUGUUGAAUCUCUUUUCUCUCAACUGAGUGAAAAAUGUAGUGUUGAAUGAGAUUUUGUUUAUCUUGCCAAACAGAAUUGGUUUACUGAAGGAGAUAAAUGAAGGGCUUAUUCAUGACUAUGAGUUUCAAAAUGAUUCAUGGAAUAAAUUGUGAGGAUGAUCAAAAUGACAAGUCUCACUGAUUGAGAGAAUGCUUUAUAGGACUAACUCAAAAUGUAUUGGACUGGCUAAGUUAUUACAUGAAUUGUUUUAGAAAAUAUUUUGAAGGAACUGUGUGUAUCUUUUAUGUUGGUAACACUAGGAUUCUCAAGUGAGUGUUCUUUUUCUUCAUAACUGAUUAUUUCGUCACUAUUCAUUUAUGAAUCCAACCAAAUAUGUUUUUGAGUCUUUGAUGUUGUAAAAUUCACUAUUAAAGGCAGUAAUACUGUAAUGUGAAAAGAAAAAUGAGGGAAAAGAAAAUAAGCUUUCCUUGGGGGUGGAGAAAAGAGUCUAACACAUUAUAUUGUGACUCUAGGCGAGGUUAGUAAUAAAAGGCAUUAUGAAAUGGCGUGUUUAUGCACUUAGCGAGCUCAUUUCAAUUGCGAGAUAAUAAAAGAAGACUUUUUAAUGGUAUUUAACAAUUGUUAAUCUCCAUUGUCAUCUACUUUAUCUUUGUUGCUCUCGAGUCAAUAAAAUAGGACGGGUGAUUUAUGAGUUCUACAUUAUUUUGAUAUGGAAUUAUUUUGUUAGUGUACUAUGUGAAUUUGUCUCUGCUCGACGCUGGUUGAGGCUUAUCUAUAAUAUGCUGUCCAAUUUUGUUGAUGCAUUUUCUAAUAUUUGGUUGCAGGUCCCCGAUUUCAUCCUAUGUGGUAUAUAUAAGCUCUAGCAGUUUAAUAAAUAUAUCAAAUUAUAGCAAAGACUAUUGAAAGGAUGGAGUACAAUUAAUGUCCUGUUUCACGGGUAUGGUCGAUAUGACAUAUUGGAGACCAUUUCAGAGAAGGUUCACCAGAAGUUAGAAGAAUAAAAAGCAGAGUAUGAUGCACUUAGACAUAUAGUCUUUAUUAGAUUUUAAUAAAAGUAGUUAGCAAGGACGAUCAACUUAUAUAAUAAGAAGUUCAGCUAUCCUGUUAACAAAUAUAUCACAUCUUGCUCUUGACAAUAGUUUGUUAUAUGUGGUUUUCUUAAAGUUAGCUGCUUUUGGCUCAAUAUGAUAAAGUUCUGCUGGAGGUCAUUACUAUUUCUGAGUACUAGCUAGACCACUAAUCUGGGCUAUGUUACAAGUAUAGCUUAUCAAGUGAGAAGGAGCUCACAUUUCUCAUGGAUAUGUAGUGAUCCUGCAUAAGUUAUUCAUCAAAAAGUUAUAGGACGUCUCUUAUGACACUAAUAAUCUUUACAAUUUCCUUUUUAACACAUCUUUUGAUCUACUGAUCUGGGUAUAAGGAAGCAAUUUGAAAUCCUUUUAGCUGGCCAUGGUAGUUCCAGAAGAAGUGAAGAUUGGGCCUAAAGUAAUCAAGAAGCUGGAGAUUUCAUCUUUAUGCAACAACACGAAGACAAUUUGGUAGCAGACACGAGAAAGGAAAGAUAACCAAGUCAACUUUUUGUCAAGGACCAAGUUCAUAAGCCUAUAAUUCCUUCACAUGGAGGAAAUGUGGUUGCUGAGGACAAGAAAGGAUGAAGGUUGCUUGAACAAGCUUCAUAUUAGCCUUGGCUCAGCAUUAGUUGAUGAUGAGAAGGCAUUAAUGCUGGUAAAAUAAUGCCGGAUGUAAAACUACCUUUGAUGUCAUUAGCCAAUUGAUAUAUUCAAGGCUUAUUCUGUAAAUGGUUGAUGUGAGGUGUUCUCAAAUUUGUGAAGUUGGCGACCAAGUGCCCAAACCUCAAAUAGGAAUGAGCAACUCCAACCAGUUUUCUUGAAGAUGUCUGCUCCUGAUGUCUCUUUAGUUCCUUGGUAAUUUUUAUAGGCUGGUUAGAGUUAGACUAACUUUGAGAUAAAUUCUAUGAAUUUCCUUUAUGGGAGAAGAGUUCUUCCAAAUUUAGCUUAGAGUUAGGAUUGGAGAGGUGACCUAAGUCAACUUCUUAAGACAUUCUUUGAUGGUAGUAUUGGCAUAGAUGAUUCUUGCUUCCUUUAUACUCCACAUGUCCAUCUUUGCUUUUGUAGGAAAAAAUUUACAUUUUAGUAAAGUUGGUUUCUCCCA